AUUCACCUGUUAGCUCAUCCAGGAGACCCAGAGCUUCCAGGGAACUCUACUUCCUUAGAACAGAGGUAGUAGGUAAAGUAAUGCAAAGGGCAAGUGCUGGAACAAAAAAUUUGAAGACAGCAGUUUUAUUUACCUCCUAGGAAAAUGACUUUUCGUUUGAUAAUAACCAUUUGUUAUGGACCAUGAAGAACUCACGAAAAUGCAAGCUAUUUCAAGAUCUUAUUGUGUAGUCACAAUAGGCUUUGGUCCUUAAAGUGUCCAAAGCAGACCUAUUCCUCUUGUAGCCAACACAGGACUGCCAAAACAGGGCUCCACUGAAGGGUUUGCUCUCAGCUUCGGAAACAGGUUCUGAAAAGUUUCAUAAAAGGGAGGGGGAAUAUCCCUCUUUCUACUUUCUGGAAUGUGGACGUGAUGACUGAAGUUCAAGCAAGUUUUAUCAUCAAUGAGGUACUUGGACACAUGGCAGAAGUUUGAAGUUUGUGGCUACAGGAACAAUCCUCCAAUGUUGCUAAGAGUGAUAUUAACAGGCUCAUAGCACAUGAAAAGAGUGAAUGUGGAAACCACACUAUAAAGAUGGUGGAGCCUGAGAUUGAAGGAUUCUGGGUCUCUGAAUCAUUGCUUACAGAAAAAUUACUCUGAGAUCAAGAACAGCUGCUUUAAACUUUAUAUGGAGGAGAGCAAUGUGAUGUUGAACUGCCCCAGGGGCUCCAGAACUGCUGGUAGAGUUAUACUUCUGAAGAACUAGACCCCAAACCAAUUUUUCUCAGAUUUCCAGAUGAUAAAACUAUUAGCAUUAUUUUUUUCAUUUUUUUUGUGAGUCACAAUGGGUGUCAAUUUUCUAACCCUUUUUAUUUCUAUUUUCUUCCUGCUCUUUCCUGAAAUUUUUCACACAGAUAAUAGCUAGGCAAAGAAAGUCCAGAUAAUUUUCCCCUUGCCUACUGUAUGUAGGACAAAAAAUUGUCAUAUAUUUCUUAGAGAAAGGGAACAUUUGGUAUAAUUAAAUAAGGAAUCCAAGGUAAUAGAGCAUUAAAAAUAUUUCCCUUUUUAAUCUAAAUUGCUAUCCUAGAAGGAAGAAGAUAACAUUUUCACAAUGCGGAUGAAUAAUUGCAGUGUUGAAAGUGGUAUUUGUUGCUGGUAUUAUUGCAUUGGCAAAGUGUCUGCCUAUCAUUGAAAAUUUUAUCUAAUUAAACAUAUUAGCAGUGGUAAGAGAAAUCAUUUUAUUUCAAGUACCACUUUGCAACUAGGAAAACAAAAAAGGAAAAAUUACAAAUGAUGUGCCUGUAACAAAGUAUGCCAGGGAAGAACAAGAAACUGAAUUCAAAUCGUGGCUUCUAGGUCCUUCUGCUUUUUGAUGACUAUAUUUACCAAAGAUUUUUACCCUGAAUUUUCCUACAAUAAAGAAUAAUGGCAUAAAAUUUGGCAC
Molecule: long non-coding RNA, 1423 nt
Organism: Pongo pygmaeus (Bornean orangutan)
Lineage: Eukaryota; Metazoa; Chordata; Mammalia; Primates; Hominidae
Exons: 6
Source: RefSeq, a predicted model, not a curated record